This 250-nucleotide ribosomal RNA is filed under the name uncultured bacterium. RNAcentral's name for it is "partial 16S ribosomal RNA". It matches the Rfam family "Bacterial small subunit ribosomal RNA", at positions 524 to 773 of the family's 1533-position model. The record is from RNAcentral.
UACGGAGGGUGCGAGCGUUGUUCGGAAUCACUGGGCGUAAAGGGCGUGUAGGCGGUCCGCUAAGUCUGAUGUGAAAGCCCGGGGCUCACCCCCGGAAGUGCAUUGGAAACUGGCGGACUCGAGUCCCGGAGAGGAGAGUGGAAUUCCUGGUGUAGCGGUGAAAUGCGUAGAUAUCAGGAGGAACACCGGUGGCGAAGGCGGCUCUCUGGACGGUGACUGACGCUGAGACGCGAAAGCGUGGGGAGCAAAC